GCCAGGAAGCCUUGCAUGUCUAGAACGAGGAGUAGCCCUUACUCCUACCGGUUAAGUCUUGUUGAGCUUAGUAGCUCAGCCUUGUUGUGGCUCCUGUUUUUCAGGUGAAGUUGCUGCGUCCGACCCCUCUCUGGUUGGUGCUUGGCCGCCCCAGCUCCCGCCAGGCUGGACGGUCGAGUGGGACCCCUCCUCGGACGGCGAGGAGAGGACUCAGUGAUGUUCUGGCUGGCCUCGCCCGGACAUCCGACCCCGACGAAGUCUUCCGCUAGUGUUUCUCUGUUGUUUUCUUGAAAUCUUGUAAAACUCUGAUGUUGGAUCUUAUGGCCGAACUAAAUGGGUAAAACUUGUUCAACUCGGUGGACUUGUUGUAUUCUCUGUAACCGCUCACCUUCGUGUGGGUUUGC
RNAcentral lists this long non-coding RNA (404 nucleotides) under Setaria viridis. Its description in RNAcentral is "long non-coding RNA (SVIR_LNC006783)". The record is from RNAcentral. Lineage: Eukaryota; Viridiplantae; Streptophyta; Magnoliopsida; Poales; Poaceae.